RNAcentral lists this ribosomal RNA (429 nucleotides) under Chloroflexota bacterium. RNAcentral describes it as "Chloroflexi bacterium partial 16S ribosomal RNA". It matches the Rfam family "Bacterial small subunit ribosomal RNA", at positions 355 to 776 of the family's 1533-position model. The record is from RNAcentral. Lineage: Bacteria; Bacillati; Chloroflexota.
UGGGGAAUAUUGCACAAUGGGCGCAAGCCUGAUGCAGCCAUGCCGCGUGUGUGAAGAAGGCCUUCGGGUUGUAAAGCACUUUCAGCGGGGAGGAAGGCGUUAAGGUUAAUAACCUUGGCGAUUGACGUUACCCGCAGAAGAAGCACCGGCUAACUCCGUGCCAGCAGCCGCGGUAAUACGGAGGGUGCAAGCGUUAAUCGGAAUUACUGGGCGUAAAGCGCACGCAGGCGGUCUGUCAAGUCGGAUGUGAAAUCCCCGGGCUCAACCUGGGAACUGCAUGCGAAACUGGCAGGCUAGAGUCUUGUAGAGGGGGGUAGAAUUCCAGGUGUAGCGGUGAAAUGCGGAGAGAUCUGGAGGAAUACCGGUGGCGAAGGCGGCCCCCUGGACAAAGACUGACGCUCAGGUGCGAAAGCGUGGGGAGCAAACAGG